GACGAACGCUGGCGGCGCGCUUAAUACAUGCAAGUCGAACGAGAAUCAUUGGUGCUUGCACUGAUGAGGAAAGUGGCGAACGGGUGAGUAACACAUGAGAAACCUGCCCCAAAGACCGGGAUAAGCUCUGGAAACGGAGUCUAAUACCGGAUACCUUCUUUUUAUCACAUGUUAAAAAGAAGAAAUGCUCCGGCGCUUUGGGAUGGUCUCGUGGUCUAUCAGCUUGUUGGUGAGGUAAAAGCUCACCAAGGCAUCGACGGAUAGCUGGUCUGAGAGGAUGUCCAGCCACAUUGGAACUGAGAUACGGUCCAAACUCCUACGGGAGGCAGCAGUAGGGAAUCUUGCACAAUGAAGGGAAACCUUGAUGCAGCGACGCCGCGUGCGGGACGAAGGCCCUAGGGUUAGUAAACCGCUUUCAGUAGGGACGAAAGUGACGGUACCUACAGAAGACG
This 452-nucleotide ribosomal RNA is filed under the name uncultured bacterium. Its description in RNAcentral is "bacterial SSU rRNA". It matches the Rfam family "Bacterial small subunit ribosomal RNA", at positions 28 to 490 of the family's 1533-position model. The record is from RNAcentral.